Molecule: ribosomal RNA, 595 nt
Filed under: uncultured bacterium
Lineage: Bacteria
Description: bacterial SSU rRNA
Rfam family: Bacterial small subunit ribosomal RNA
Source: RNAcentral
GCCUACCAAGGCUACGAUCAGUAGGGGUUCUGAGAGGAUUAACCCCCACACUGGUACUGAGACACGGACCAGACUCCUACGGGAGGCAGCAGUGAGGAAUAUUGGUCAAUGGGCGGAAGCCUGAACCAGCCAUCCCGCGUGAAGGAAGACAGCCUUACGGGUUGUAAACUUCUUUUCUGUCAGAAGAAUAAGCUUGUCGAGACGAGUGAUGCCGGUAUGACAGGAAUAAGCAUCGGCUAACUCCGUGCCAGCAGCCGCGGUAAUACGGAGGAUGCAAGCGUUAUCCGGAUUUAUUGGGUUUAAAGGGUGCGCAGGUUGUUUGAUAAGUCAGUGGUGAAAGUCUGUCGCUUAACGGUAGGAUUGCCAUUGAUACUGUUGGACUUGAAUAUGGAUGAGGUAGGCGGAAUGUGUAGUGUAGCGGUGAAAUGCAUAGAUAUUACACGGAACACCGAUUGCGAAGGCAGCUUACUAAUCCAUCAUUGACGCUGAGGCACGAAAGCGUGGGGAUCAAACAGGAUUAGAUACCCUGGUAGUCCACGCCGUAAACGAUGAUCACUCGCUGUUUGCGAUAUACAGUAAGCGGCUAAGCGAAAGC